GCGGCUGUCGUUCAAUGGCAGGACCUCAGUUUCCCAUACUGAAGAUGCGAGUUCGAUUCUCGCCAGCCGCUCCA
Molecule: transfer RNA, 74 nt
Filed under: Caldisericota bacterium
Lineage: Bacteria; Pseudomonadati; Caldisericota
Description: tRNA-Gly
Rfam family: tRNA
About the family: Transfer RNA (tRNA) molecules are approximately 80 nucleotides in length. Their secondary structure includes four short double-helical elements and three loops (D, anti-codon, and T loops). Further hydrogen bonds mediate the characteristic L-shaped molecular structure. tRNAs have two regions of fundamental functional importance: the anti-codon, which is responsible for specific mRNA codon recognition, and the 3' end, to which the tRNAs corresponding amino acid is attached (by aminoacyl-tRNA synthetases). tRNAs cope with the degeneracy of the genetic code in two manners: having more than one tRNA (with a specific anti-codon) for a particular amino acid; and 'wobble' base-pairing, i.e. permitting non-standard base-pairing at the 3rd anti-codon position.
Source: RNAcentral